UCGGCUCCGGUUCACGUCCUCGAUCGUGUCGAGGGCGACCCGGCGGCC
RNAcentral lists this non-coding RNA (48 nucleotides) under Nocardia sp. BMG111209. RNAcentral describes it as "L31-Actinobacteria ribosomal protein leader". It matches the Rfam family "L31-Actinobacteria ribosomal protein leader". Lineage: Bacteria; Bacillati; Actinomycetota; Actinomycetes; Mycobacteriales; Nocardiaceae. The record is from RNAcentral.